GACUUCACCAAGGCACCCUCGGUAAGGCAAACGGUGUUAUUUAAAAUAAUCUCAACUCCACUAAUAUGUUGUAAUUGUUGGGGAGUGUGGAAAUAUUUUAUGUGCACAGUUCCUAUUGUCACGGUUUUGUGGUUUGCUACUCAUGGCAGGUUGUUGCGGCUCCAAGAGAUAGGAUAAGAUAUCACCUAGCUUGUUGUAAUCUUGUGUUGUAAGUUAUUUAGUUUGUAGAUGCUUGUUGUACAGUUCUAAUCGCCACGGUAGAGGUUGUUCCUAGCUAUAUUAAUACAGAGUCUCGAGCCUGAGAAGGCAUCACGUUACAACCACUUCCACACAAUGCAUGUACCAAUUUUAGCCUUCAGAACCCAACACUGUGUGACGAAGAUGGCACCAAGGG
This 394-nucleotide long non-coding RNA is filed under the name Sorghum bicolor (sorghum). RNAcentral describes it as "long non-coding RNA (SBIC_LNC002031)". The record is from RNAcentral. Lineage: Eukaryota; Viridiplantae; Streptophyta; Magnoliopsida; Poales; Poaceae.